CUCUCCUGCUGCUCUUCUUACCUCUCCCAGCGUUCUUUCAGUGAUUCUCUCUCUGGCUCUUCUCCCCAAUCACUCUGUUUAUGUUCCCCAAGUCCUUGGUCCCCUAUUGUUCUCAAUCUAUACUGCCUACCUUAGCAAAUUUACCUGUCAUCCCCUAAUUUCCUCACCACCCCUCUUGACUCGUGUCUCUGACAUUCCAGACACCAACUGAAUGGCUG
Molecule: non-coding RNA, 218 nt
Organism: Pelobates cultripes (western spadefoot toad)
Lineage: Eukaryota; Metazoa; Chordata; Amphibia; Anura; Pelobatidae
Source: the annotation of a GenBank genome assembly